GUCAAAUCAUCAUGCCCCUUAUGUCCUGGGCUUCACACGUACUACAAUGGCCGGUAAACAACGAGACGCAAUGCCGCGAGGCGGAGCAAAUCUCAAAAAACGGUCUCAGUUCGGAUUGCAGGCUGCAACCCGCCUGCAUGAAGUUGGAAUUGCUAGUAAUCGCGGAUCAGCAUGCCGCGGUGAAUACGUUCCCGGGUCUU
RNAcentral lists this ribosomal RNA (200 nucleotides) under uncultured prokaryote. Its description in RNAcentral is "partial 16S ribosomal RNA". It matches the Rfam family "Bacterial small subunit ribosomal RNA", at positions 1184 to 1382 of the family's 1533-position model. The record is from RNAcentral.